AGAGUUUGAUCCUGGCUCAGGAUGAACGCUAGCGGCAGGCCUAACACAUGCAAGUCGGGGGGCAGCAUGGCGUAGCGAUACGCUGAUGGCGACCGGCGCACGGGUGCGUAACGCGUAUGCAACCUGUCCGGCGCAGGGGGGUAGCCCGUCGAAAGGCGGGGUAAUCCCGCAUGAACCGGUACCGCCGCAUGGGGGUACCGGCAAAGUGGAGAUGCGGAGCCGGAGGGGCAUGCGUGCCAUUAGCUGGCUGGUGGGGUAACGGCCCACCAGGGCGAUGAUGGCUAGGGGGUCUGAGAGGAUGGUCCCCCACACUGGUACUGAGACACGGACCAGACUCCUACGGGAGGCAGCAGUGAGGAAUAUUGGUCAAUGGGCGGAAGCCUGAACCAGCCAUGCCGCGUGCAGGAAGGAGGCCCUACGGGUUGUAAACUGCUUUUACCCGGGAAGAAACCGCCCCCUGGGGGGGGCGUUGCCGGUACCGGGGGAAAAAGGAUCGGCUAACUCCGUGCCAGCAGCCACGGUAAUACGGAGGAUCCGGGCGUUAUCCGGAAUUACUGGGUUUAAAGGGUGCGUAGGCGGGGCCCUAAGCCGGCGGUGAAAUGCAGCGGCUCAACCGCUGGAAUGCCGUUGGGACUGGGGCUCUUGGAUACGGUCGGGGCGGGUGGAACUCGUGGUGUAGCGGUGAAAUGCAUAGAUAUCACGAGGAACGCCGGUAGCGAAGGCAGCUCGCCGGGCCGGUAUUGACGCUGAGGCACGAAAGCGUGGGGAUCGAACAGGAUUAGAUACCCUGGUAG
This 794-nucleotide ribosomal RNA is filed under the name uncultured bacterium. Its description in RNAcentral is "bacterial SSU rRNA". It matches the Rfam family "Bacterial small subunit ribosomal RNA", at positions 8 to 793 of the family's 1533-position model. The record is from RNAcentral.